This is an unclassified non-coding RNA of Cricetulus griseus (Chinese hamster), 278 nucleotides long. Its record names the gene 7SK. It matches the Rfam family "7SK RNA". Rfam says of the family: 7SK was discovered as an abundant small nuclear RNA in the mid-70s but a possible function has only recently been suggested. Lineage: Eukaryota; Metazoa; Chordata; Mammalia; Rodentia; Cricetidae. The record is from Ensembl.
GGAUGAAGGGAAUCUCUCUGGCACAUCUGUUACCCCUUUGAUGGCCAAGAUUGAUUUGGUUGAUCUUGCAGGUUAGGCAGGUUAGGCAACUUCCUUUCUCACCACAAAUGUGUGUCCUUUCCAAAGCUGCAUAUUAAGUGGAAGAAGAUGGCCUUCCCUGAGAGACAGACACUUCUUCAGUCAACAGUGUCCUCCUGGCUAGAACUUCCAUAAGAGUUCUCAAAGAGUCCUUUCCCUCCCCCUCUGUCUCUGGGUUGCUUGGUUGCUUCUCUCUGAGG